This 1511-nucleotide ribosomal RNA is filed under the name Klebsiella pneumoniae. Its description in RNAcentral is "bacterial SSU rRNA". It matches the Rfam family "Bacterial small subunit ribosomal RNA". Lineage: Bacteria; Pseudomonadati; Pseudomonadota; Gammaproteobacteria; Enterobacterales; Enterobacteriaceae. The record is from RNAcentral.
AGAGUUUGAUCAUGGCUCAGAUUGAACGCUGGCGGCAGGCCUAACACAUGCAAGUCGAGCGGUAGCACAGAGAGCUUGCUCUCGGGUGACGAGCGGCGGACGGGUGAGUAAUGUCUGGGAAACUGCCUGAUGGAGGGGGAUAACUACUGGAAACGGUAGCUAAUACCGCAUAAUGUCGCAAGACCAAAGUGGGGGACCUUCGGGCCUCAUGCCAUCAGAUGUGCCCAGAUGGGAUUAGCUAGUAGGUGGGGUAACGGCUCACCUAGGCGACGAUCCCUAGCUGGUCUGAGAGGAUGACCAGCCACACUGGAACUGAGACACGGUCCAGACUCCUACGGGAGGCAGCAGUGGGGAAUAUUGCACAAUGGGCGCAAGCCUGAUGCAGCCAUGCCGCGUGUGUGAAGAAGGCCUUCGGGUUGUAAAGCACUUUCAGCGGGGAGGAAGGCGNUCGAUUGACGUUACCCGCAGAAGAAGCACCGGCUAACUCCGUGCCAGCAGCCGCGGUAAUACGGAGGGUGCAAGCGUUAAUCGGAAUUACUGGGCGUAAAGCGCACGCAGGCGGUCUGUCAAGUCGGAUGUGAAAUCCCCGGGCUCAACCUGGGAACUGCAUUCGAAACUGGCAGGCUAGAGUCUUGUAGAGGGGGGUAGAAUUCCAGGUGUAGCGGUGAAAUGCGUAGAGAUCUGGAGGAAUACCGGUGGCGAAGGCGGCCCCCUGGACAAAGACUGACGCUCAGGUGCGAAAGCGUGGGGAGCAAACAGGAUUAGAUACCCUGGUAGUCCACGCCGUAAACGAUGUCGAUUUGGAGGUUGUGCCCUUGAGGCGUGGCUUCCGGAGCUAACGCGUUAAAUCGACCGCCUGGGGAGUACGGCCGCAAGGUUAAAACUCAAAUGAAUUGACGGGGGCCCGCACAAGCGGUGGAGCAUGUGGUUUAAUUCGAUGCAACGCGAAGAACCUUACCUGGUCUUGACAUCCACAGAACUUUCCAGAGAUGGAUUGGUGCCUUCGGGAACUGUGAGACAGGUGCUGCAUGGCUGUCGUCAGCUCGUGUUGUGAAAUGUUGGGUUAAGUCCCGCAACGAGCGCAACCCUUAUCCUUUGUUGCCAGCGGUCCGGCCGGGAACUCAAAGGAGACUGCCAGUGAUAAACUGGAGGAAGGUGGGGAUGACGUCAAGUCAUCAUGGCCCUUACGACCAGGGCUACACACGUGCUACAAUGGCAUAUACAAAGAGAAGCGACCUCGCGAGAGCAAGCGGACCUCAUAAAGUAUGUCGUAGUCCGGAUUGGAGUCUGCAACUCGACUCCAUGAAGUCGGAAUCGCUAGUAAUCGUAGAUCAGAAUGCUACGGUGAAUACGUUCCCGGGCCUUGUACACACCGCCCGUCACACCAUGGGAGUGGGUUGCAAAAGAAGUAGGUAGCUUAACCUUCGGGAGGGCGCUUACCACUUUGUGAUUCAUGACUGGGGUGAAGUCGUAACAAGGUAACCGUAGGGGAACCUGCGGUUGGAUCACCU